Non-coding RNA from Salmo salar (Atlantic salmon), 1205 nucleotides. The record is from RefSeq and is a predicted model, not a curated record. Lineage: Eukaryota; Metazoa; Chordata; Actinopteri; Salmoniformes; Salmonidae.
AGGAAAAAAAAUUGCCAUUGCCACUGUAGUCCAGCUCCAGUCCAGCUUUUCACACAUUUACAGUUCAGUUUGGUUCCAGAACAGGGUACUUGUCUUUCUCUCCUCCUCUCUCUCUUUCCUUCUCUUCCUCUGCAACCAACCAUGAGGAUCACCUUUGUGACAAUGGCCACGGCGAUGGUGUGUUUGAUGGGUGUCCAUGGAGACGUGCAGCCUCAGAGAGACUUUGACCUGCAGAGGUUUGCAGGGAAGUGGUACCGUGUGGGCUUGGCGUAUGACUCCCCAGGGUUUACUGCCCUAUACAGAGACAAGCUGAGAGUGUCCAUGGGCAUCCUGAAUCCACAGACCAACGGCAACGUCAACCUCACCAUGUGGACCCAGAGAUCAUCAGGUUGCCGCAGUAAGCUUUACACGUAUGAGAAGACAGCGAUACCUGGCGCCUUCACCUAUUUCAGCACCCGCCAUAACAAAGUAAAGGACAUCACAGUAGUGGAGACCAACUAUAAUGAGUAUGCACUGGUCCUGAAGCACAAGAAGAUGGACAGAGAGUACACACAGGUGGCCCUCUAUGGUCGUUCUCAGAAGGUAAAGCCCGAAGUGAUUCAGAAAUUUAGAGACUUUGCCACAUCUCAUGGAUUUCCCAAGGAUGCCAUUCUGACCCCACCACCUGCAGGUAGUAGCCUAAGUAUGGACACACACACAGACACACACAGUCCCUACAUUUCUCGUCUCUAAGCUGUACGACUGAAAGCAGACAGUGUGUAACACAACAUUGUCGUGCUCUUCGUUGUUUGCAGAGAACUGCCCUCCCUCUGGACGCUAGAUCAGAGCAACAUCAUGAUUACUCAUUGAUUUGCUUCGCCGCACCAGUUUCCCAGCACUUAUUAGACAUUUGUCUCUCCAUUGGAGCACAGCAUCAGGAUUGGUUUCACCUUUACACCACACGUUUCACUGGGCAACAACAGAACCUCAACACGCUUUACCUCACAAGGGUGAAAUAGUAUAACUGCUAAUGACAGAUGCACUUUUAGACAGCCCGUCUUGUUUUAUUACCAACAUCCUCUCUGAUGUCUGUCUGUCUCUUGUCCCCUCAGUACAACGGACUGUUGAAUUCUUUUUUUCCUUUCUGAAUCCGAUAAAACAAGGGACGUCAUUGUCUUGUAUAACACUGCUAUGGCUGAAUAAAUGCUAGUGUUCCUCUGGUGCUA